GGAGUUAGCCGGUGCUUCUUCUGUGAGUGAUGUCCUUCCUGCCGGCUAUUAACCCGCAGGCCUUCUUCCUCACUGAAAGUGCUUUACAACCCGAAGGCCUUCUUCACACACGCGGCAUGGCUGGAUCAGGGUUGCCCCCAUUGUCCAAUAUUCCCCACUGCUGCCUCCCGUAGGAGUCUGGGCCGUGUCUCAGUCCCAGUGUGGCUGAUCAUCCUCUCAGACCAGCUACGGAUCGUCGCCUUGGUGAGCCGUUACCUCACCAACCAGCUAAUCCGACAUAGGCUCAUCCGAUAGCGCGAGGCCCGAAGGUCCCCCGCUUUCCCCCGUAGGGCGUAUGCGGUAUUAGCCUGGGUUUCCCCAGGUUAUCCCCCACUACCGGGCAGAUUCCUAUGCAUUACUCACCCGUCCGCCGCUCGCCACCAGGAGCAAGCUCCCGUGCUGCCGCUCGACUUGCAUGUGUUAGGCCUGCCGCCAGCGUUCAAUCUGAGCCAGAAUCGAACCCUGA
Molecule: ribosomal RNA, 505 nt
Filed under: uncultured bacterium
Lineage: Bacteria
Description: partial 16S ribosomal RNA
Source: RNAcentral